Molecule: ribosomal RNA, 524 nt
Filed under: uncultured bacterium
Lineage: Bacteria
Description: partial 16S ribosomal RNA
Rfam family: Bacterial small subunit ribosomal RNA
Source: RNAcentral
GACGAACGCUGGCGGCGUGCCUAAUACAUGCAAGUCGAGCGCAGGAAGCUGACGGAACUCUUCGGAGAGAAGGCAGUGGAAUGAGCGGCGGACGGGUGAGUAACACGUAAGGAACCUGCCUCAAGGAUUGGGAUAACUCCGAGAAAUCGGAGCUAAUACCGGAUAGUUCAACGGACCGCAUGGUCCGCUGAUGAAGGGCGCUUCGGCGUCACCUUGAGAUGGCCUUGCGGUGCAUUAGCUAGUUGGUGGGGUAACGGCCCACCAAGGCGACGAUGCAUAGCCGACCUGGGAGGGUGAUCGGCCACACUGGGACUGAGACACGGCCCAGACUCCUACGGGAGGCAGCAGUAGGGAAUCUUCCACAAUGGACGAAAGUCUGAUGGAGCAACGCCGCGUGAGUGAUGAAGGUUUUCGGAUCGUAAAACUCUGUUGUAAGGGAAGAACACGUACGAGAGGGAAUGCUCGUACCUUGACGGUACCUUACGAGAAAGCCACGGCUAACUACGUGCCAGCCGCCGCCGUAA